GGAGCUUGCUCCCUGAAGUUAGCGGCGGACGGGUGAGUAACACGUGGGCAACCUGCCUGUAAGACUGGGAUAACUUCGGGAAACCGGAGCUAAUACCGGAUACGUUCUUUCCUCGCAUGAGGAAAGAUGGAAAGACGGUUUCGGCUGUCACUUACAGAUGGGCCCGCGGCGCAUUAGCUAGUUGGUGAGGUAAUGGCUCACCAAGGCCACGAUGCGUAGCCGACCUGAGAGGGUGAUCGGCCACACUGGGACUGAGACACGGCCCAGACUCCUACGGGAGGCAGCAGUAGGGAAUCUUCCGCAAUGGACGAAAGUCUGACGGAGCAACGCCGCGUGAGCGAAGAAGGCCUUCGGGUCGUAAAGCUCUGUUGUUAGGGAAGAACAAGUGCCAGAGUAACUGCUGGCACCUUGACGGUACCUAACCAGAAAGCCACGGCUAACUACGUGCCAGCAGCCGCGGUAAUACGUAGGUGGCAAGCGUUGUCCGGAAUUAUUGGGCGUAAAGCGCGCGCAGGUGGUUCCUUAAGUCUGAUGUGAAAGCCCACGGCUCAACCGUGGAGGGUCAUUGGAAACUGGGGGACUUGAGUGCAGAAGAGGAAAGUGGAAUUCCAAGUGUAGCGGUGAAAUGCGUAGAGAUUUGGAGGAACACCAGUGGCGAAGGCGACUUUCUGGUCUGUAACUGACACUGAGGCGCGAAAGCGUGGGGAGCGAACAGGAUUAGAUACCCUG
This 729-nucleotide ribosomal RNA is filed under the name Bacillus sp. (in: firmicutes). RNAcentral's name for it is "bacterial SSU rRNA". It matches the Rfam family "Bacterial small subunit ribosomal RNA", at positions 75 to 789 of the family's 1533-position model. Lineage: Bacteria; Bacillati; Bacillota; Bacilli; Caryophanales; Bacillaceae. The record is from RNAcentral.